This 406-nucleotide ribosomal RNA is filed under the name uncultured bacterium. RNAcentral describes it as "partial 16S ribosomal RNA". It matches the Rfam family "Bacterial small subunit ribosomal RNA", at positions 30 to 526 of the family's 1533-position model. The record is from RNAcentral.
AUUGAACGCUGGCGGCAGGCCUAACACAUGCAAGUCGAACGAGUGGCGGACGGGUUAGUCAUGUCUGGGAACUUGCCUGAUGGAGGGGGAUAACUACUGGAAACGGUAGUUAAUACCGCAUACCAUUGGAUGUGCCCAGAUUGCAUUAGGUAGUAGGUGGGGUAACGGCUCACCUAGGCGACGAUCCCUAGCUGGUCUGAUAGGAUGACCAGCCACACUGGAACUGAGACACGGUCCAGACUCCUACGGGAGGCAGCAGUGGGGAAUAUUGCACAAUGGGCGCAAGCCUGAUGAAGCCAUGCCGCGUGUUUGAAGAAGGCCUUCGGGUUGUAAAGUACUUUCAGCUGGGAGGCGUUACCCGCAGAAGAAGCACCGGCUAACUCCGUGCCAGCAGCCGCGGUAAUAC